GGGUAUAGUUUGCCAGUAACCUUCGUUAACAACCUGCUUGGUCUUGUAGAAAGGGAGAAUGUUGAAUCUUGAUGAGAGGGAAAAUGGGGAAUAAAUAUCGCGUCACAAAAGGUUCAACAUGAGGUUUCGUCUCUGUAUUUCUAAGGGGGGACACAAGGUAAAUUGGAGAGUGAAGCAGCCAUCGAGAAACGUAAUUUUGUUGAAUGCUUCGUGCAAAUCAUCAAUUGAACCUUCAGAGUGGCAUUUCUUUGCAUCGGUGGCCGCUUGAACCACGUUGAUGUACAAAGCAUUAAUGGGUACUCACUAUGCCG
This 311-nucleotide unclassified non-coding RNA is filed under the name Hevea brasiliensis (rubber tree). Lineage: Eukaryota; Viridiplantae; Streptophyta; Magnoliopsida; Malpighiales; Euphorbiaceae. The record is from RNAcentral.